AGCGCAGGCGGUUUUUUAAGUCUGAUGUGAAAGCCCUUGGCUCAACCAAGGGAGUGCAUCGGAAACUGGAGAACUUGAGUGCAGAAGAGGACAGUGGAACUCCAUGUGUAGCGGUGAAAUGCGUAGAUAUAUGGAAGAACACCAGUGGCGAAGGCGGCUGUCUGGUCUGUAACUGACGCUGAGGCUCGAAAGGCGUGGGAGCAAACA
RNAcentral lists this ribosomal RNA (207 nucleotides) under uncultured bacterium. RNAcentral describes it as "partial 16S ribosomal RNA". It matches the Rfam family "Bacterial small subunit ribosomal RNA", at positions 568 to 774 of the family's 1533-position model. The record is from RNAcentral.